This 482-nucleotide ribosomal RNA is filed under the name uncultured bacterium. RNAcentral describes it as "partial 16S ribosomal RNA". It matches the Rfam family "Bacterial small subunit ribosomal RNA", at positions 28 to 507 of the family's 1533-position model. The record is from RNAcentral.
GAUGAACGCUAGCGGCAGGCCUAAUACAUGCAAGUCGAACGAGAUUAAGAGGCUUGCUUCUUAUGAAAGUGGCGCACGGGUGCGUAACGCGUAUGCAACCUACCUUAAUCAGGGGGAUAGCCCGAAGAAAUUCGGAUUAAGACCGCAUAAAAACACAGGAUAGCAUUAUCCAAUGUUCAAAUAUUUAUAGGAUUAAGAUGGGCAUGCGUGUCAUUAGCUAGUUGGCGGGGUAACGGCCCACCAAGGCGACGAUGACUAGGGGAUCUGAGAGGAUGACCCCCCACACUGGUACUGAGACACGGACCAGACUCCUACGGGAGGCAGCAGUAAGGAAUAUUGGUCACUGGAGGGUACUCUGACCCAGCCAUGCCGCGUGCAGGAAGACAGCCCUCUGGGUCGUAAACUGCUUUUAUUCGGGAAUAAACCUUUCUACGUGUAGGAAGCUGAAUGUACCGAAGGAAUAAGGAUCGGCUAACUCCGUG